UUCGGAUUGUAGUCUGCAACCCGACUACAUGAAGCUGGAAUCGCUAGUAAUCGCAGAUCAGAAUGCUGCGGUGAAUACGUUCCCGGGUCUUGUACACACCGCCCGUCACACCAUGGGAGCCGGGAAUGCCCGAAGUCGGUGACCCAACCGUAAGGAGGGAGCCGCCGAAGGCAGGCCUGGUAACUGGGGUGAAGUCGUAACAAGGUAAC
Molecule: ribosomal RNA, 209 nt
Filed under: uncultured bacterium
Lineage: Bacteria
Description: partial 16S ribosomal RNA
Rfam family: Bacterial small subunit ribosomal RNA
Source: RNAcentral